This 445-nucleotide ribosomal RNA is filed under the name uncultured bacterium. RNAcentral describes it as "partial 16S ribosomal RNA". It matches the Rfam family "Bacterial small subunit ribosomal RNA", at positions 354 to 796 of the family's 1533-position model. The record is from RNAcentral.
GUAGGGAAUAUUGGGCAAUGGAUGCAAGUCUGACCCAGCCAUGCCGCGUGGAGGAAGAAGGUCCUCUGGAUUGUAAACUCCUUUUUUGGGGGAAGAAUAGUUCUCUUGCGAGGGAAUGUGACGGUACCCUAAGAAUAAGCCACGGCUAACUACGUGCCAGCAGCCGCGGUAAUACGUAGGUGGCAAGCGUUGUCCGGAGUUAUUGGGUUUAAAGGGUGCGUAGGUGGUUUGAUAAGUCAGUGGUGAAAGCUGGUUGCUCAACAAGCAAGUUGCCAUUGAUACUGUCGGACUUGAGAGAAGUGGAGGUUCAUGGAAUGGAUGGUGUAGCGGUGAAAUGCAUAGAUAUCAUCCAGAACGUCGAUUGCGAAGGCAGUGGGCUGUACUUUAUCUGACACUGAGGCACGAAAGUGUGGGGAUCAAACAGGAUUAGAAACCCUAGUAGUCC